This 499-nucleotide ribosomal RNA is filed under the name uncultured bacterium. Its description in RNAcentral is "partial 16S ribosomal RNA". It matches the Rfam family "Bacterial small subunit ribosomal RNA", at positions 28 to 507 of the family's 1533-position model. The record is from RNAcentral.
GACGAACGCUGGCGGCGUGCCUAAUACAUGCAAGUCGAGCGAAGUUUUUCUGGUGCUUGCACUAGAAAAACUUAGCGGCGAACGGGUGAGUAACACGUGAAGAACCUGCCUCAUAGACUGGGACAACUAUUGGAAACGAUAGCUAAUACCGGAUAACAGUAUUUCUCGCAUGAGAGAUAUUUAAAAGUUGGUUAUGCUAACACUAUGAGAUGGCUUUGCGGUGCAUUAGCUAGUUGGUGGGGUAAAGGCCCACCAAGGCGACGAUGCAUAGCCGACCUGAGAGGGUGAUCGGCCACACUGGGACUGAGACACGGCCCAGACUCCUACGGGAGGCAGCAGUAGGGAAUCUUCCGCAAUGGGCGAAAGCCUGACGGAGCAACGCCGCGUGAGUGAAGAAGGAUUUCGGUUCGUAAAGCUCUGUUGUUAGGGAAGAAUGGAUAUGUAGUAACUAUACAUGUAAGAGACGGUACCUAACCAGAAAGCCACGGCUAACUACGUG